UACGAAGGGGGCUAGCGUUGCUCGGAAUCACUGGGCGUAAAGGGUGCGUAGGCGGGUUUUUAAGUCAGAGGUGAAAUCCUGGAGCUCAACUCCAGAACUGCCUUUGAUACUGAGAAUCUUUGUAUGGGAGAGGUGAGUGGAACUGCGAGUGUAGAGGUGAAAUUCGUAGAUAUUCGCAAGAACACCAGUGGCGAAGGCGGCUCACUGGCCCAUAACUGACGCUGAGGCACGAAAGCGUGGGGAGCAAACAGG
Molecule: ribosomal RNA, 252 nt
Filed under: uncultured bacterium
Lineage: Bacteria
Description: partial 16S ribosomal RNA
Rfam family: Bacterial small subunit ribosomal RNA
Source: RNAcentral